This 239-nucleotide ribosomal RNA is filed under the name uncultured bacterium. RNAcentral's name for it is "partial 16S ribosomal RNA". It matches the Rfam family "Bacterial small subunit ribosomal RNA", at positions 1263 to 1500 of the family's 1533-position model. The record is from RNAcentral.
AGGAGCAAAUCUGAAAAAAGACGUCCCUAGUUCGGAUUGUAGGCUGAAACUCGCCUACAUGAAGCUGGAAUCGCUAGUAAUCGCGGAUCAGAAUGCCGCGGUGAAUACGUUCCCGGGUCUUGUACACACCGCCCGUCACACCAUGGGAGUCGGAAAUGCCCGAAGCCGGUGACCUAACCGAAAGGGAGGAGCCGUCGAAGGCAGGAUCGAUAACUGGGGUGAAGUCGUAACAAGGUAUC